GAAAUGCGAUAAGUAAUGUGAAUUGCAGAAUUCAGUGAAUCAUCGAAUCUUUGAACGCACCUUGCGCCCCUUGGCAUUCCGAGGGGCACGCCUGUUUGAGUGUCGUGAACUCCUCCACCCUCUACCUUUUUCGAAAGGCAUUGGGCUGGGAUUUGGGAGCUUGCGGGUCCCUGGUCGAUCCGCUCUCCUUGAAUGCAUUAGCGAAGCCCUAGCGGCCUUGGUGUGAUAGUCAUCUACGCCUCGGCUUAGCGAACAUGUGGGAGUCGCUUCCAAUCGUCUCGCAAGGGACAACACACUACCAACUUGACCUCAAAUCAGGCGGGACUACCCGCUGAACUUAA
RNAcentral lists this unclassified non-coding RNA (341 nucleotides) under uncultured Peniophora. Its description in RNAcentral is "sequence contains ITS1". The stretch from base 1 to 105 matches the Rfam family "5.8S ribosomal RNA", at positions 50 to 154 of the family's 154-position model. The record is from RNAcentral. Lineage: Eukaryota; Fungi; Basidiomycota; Agaricomycetes; Russulales; Lachnocladiaceae.